Molecule: ribosomal RNA, 461 nt
Filed under: uncultured bacterium
Lineage: Bacteria
Description: bacterial SSU rRNA
Rfam family: Bacterial small subunit ribosomal RNA
Source: RNAcentral
AUACGGGAGGCAGCAGUGAGGAAUAUUGGACAAUGGUCGGAAGACUGAUCCAGCCAUGCCGCGUGAAGGAAGAAGGCGCUCAGCGUUGUAAACUUCUUUUGGACGGGAACAAAACCACCCACUUGUGGGUGUCUGAGGGUACCGUCAGAAUAAGCACCGGCUAACUCCGUGCCAGCAGCCGCGGUAAUACGGAGGGUGCAAGCGUUAUCCGGAAUCACUGGGUUUAAAGGGUGCGUAGGCGGCCCGAUAAGUCAGUCGUGAAAUCGCUGGGCUUAACCCAUGCAACUGCGAUUGAUACUGUCGGGCUUGAAUCAGGUUGAGGCAGGCGGAAUGUGACAUGUAGCGGUGAAAUGCAUAGAUAUGUCAUAGAACACCGAUUGCGAAGGCAGCUUGCUGGACCUUGAUUGACGCUGAGGCACGAAAGCGUGGGGAGCAAACAGGAUUAGAUACCCGUGUAGUCC